UACGAAGGGGGCUAGCGUUGCUCGGAAUCACUGGGCGUAAAGCGCACGUAGGCGGCUUUCUAAGUCAGGGGUGAAAUCCUGGAGCUCAACUCCAGAACUGCCUUUGAUACUGGAGAGCUUGAGUCCGGGAGAGGUGAGUGGAACUCCGAGUGUAGAGGUGAAAUUCGUAGAUAUUCGGAAGAACACCAGUGGCGAAGGCGGCUCACUGGCCCGGUACUGACGCUGAGGUGCGAAAGCGUGGGGAGCAAACAGG
Molecule: ribosomal RNA, 253 nt
Filed under: uncultured bacterium
Lineage: Bacteria
Also listed under: 1 other name
Description: partial 16S ribosomal RNA
Rfam family: Bacterial small subunit ribosomal RNA
Source: RNAcentral